AAAUUGGCCAAUUACAAGUUAAAUUCACUAAAUUGGCAGCAUUAUUAACUAAAAGACCAAAUAUGGGCUCCUCUUUGUUUUCUGAAUUUCAGCCAGCCCAAACGCAUAUGCAUUUUCCCAAAGACGCGCCUCACGAUAUACACGGCGUGGGAGGAGAUUCAACGCGCCAGACGACUUUGUUAUUUCCCUUAAACAUACUCAUCUCCGUACGAUGGCAACUAUCGCAGCAGGAUUUUCAGACGCGAAUCGUCCUUGCCAUUACAAGGUGGAGCCACGUCAAAGCAAGGGAAUUUGGGAUUGAUCCCAAUUGUCUAUCUCUUUUCCUUUUCUAACUUGUUGUCCAACUUUCUGUAAAGGGUUUGAUUCCAUUCUGGUGCUAAUUUUUUGGUUUUCAUAUUUCAAAUGGGAUAAGGGGCUGAUUUGUUAACUUCACCUUUGUGAAACCCUAAUUCUUCCCCCUAUAUAAUAUCCUUUAAUUGUGAAUAAAGGGCAUUUUUUUGGACAAAAGGAAGUUAUCUCUUUUAGCCGAAGUCUUUUCUUUUGUUUUGGAAAGAGUUUACAGAUAGAUAGCUCACAAAAAGGAGAAAAGAAUCGGAGUUUUUAUUUUGUUUUGAGAUUCUAGGUGGAAGUUUUAGGCAAGAAACAGAGAAAAAAAAGGGGCUCGGGAGUUGAAACCUUUUACCUUCGGUUGGAAAAAAUUGAGCUUUUUGUGAUUUUGUUUUUGCCUUUCGCUCGCUGUCCCAGUUCGCUGCACACGAAAAAGUAAACUCGAUUUCAAUUCCAAUUCCUUGGACGUGUUGUCUGAUAAUCCGUGUUCGCUUUUGAUUGGAGUCCGUUGCUGUUUUUCUCUCAUCCCUAUUUUCAUUAUUUUCGAUUUACUACUAAUUAUGUGACAACCAUGAUUAGAUGGUUUGUAGUUUUGGUCGCAUGAAAUAUGAGUCCUCGUGGACUUCAUUCUAUUCCCGCAUUUUUUAGAGCCGUAAGGGCCCAACUUCCCUUUGUCCAAGUCAAUCCCACUCUAAAAUUGACGUACAGGUCCCGAGUUGGAAGGAUUCGAAAAUCAAGAAGACGGAUAUUUGAAGAAGUUGGACCAAAUAGGCCCAUUUUACCUAUUCAUUCUUUAUUGUAUUUUGUUAUUUUUUGGGUCUAAGCCCUUGUCGUCUUCUAUUUUCUGUUAUUAUUGUAUGUUUAGUCUAGGACAAGUACAAAAAAAGUGGUCCUAAAGGCCCAAAAUGAAAAUGGGUUUGGGUCCAA
Solanum pennellii is the source of this 1254-nucleotide long non-coding RNA. RefSeq lists it as uncharacterized. The record is from RefSeq and is a predicted model, not a curated record. Lineage: Eukaryota; Viridiplantae; Streptophyta; Magnoliopsida; Solanales; Solanaceae. The transcript is spliced from 2 exons.